UGGGGGAUAUUGCACAAUGGAGGAAACUCUGAUGCAGCGACGCCGUGUGAGGGAAGAAGGUCUUCGGAUUGUAAACCUCUGUCUUCAGGGACGAAGAAAGUGACGGUACCUGGAGAGGAAGCCACGGCUAACUACGUGCCAGCAGCCGCGGUAAUACGUAGGUGGCAAGCGUUGUCCGGAAUUACUGGGUGUAAAGGGUGCGCAGGCGGGUCGGCAAGUUGGAUGUGAAAUAUCCGUGCUUAACACGGGGGCUGCAUUCAAAACUGCCGGUCUUGAGUAAGGUAGAGGUAGGCGGAAUUCCCGGUGUAGCGGUUAAAUGCGUAGAUAUCGGGAGGAACACCAGUGGCGAAGGCGGCCUACUGGGCCUUUACUGACGCUGAGACACGAAAGCGUGGGUAGCAAACA
Molecule: ribosomal RNA, 405 nt
Filed under: uncultured bacterium
Lineage: Bacteria
Description: bacterial SSU rRNA
Rfam family: Bacterial small subunit ribosomal RNA
Source: RNAcentral